GACGAACGCUGGCGGCGUGCUUAACACAUGCAAGUCGAACGGAAAGGCCCUGCUUUUGUGUGUUGCUCGAGUGGCGAACGGGUGAGUAACACGUGAGUAACCUGCCCCUGACUUUGGGAUAACUUCAGGAAACUGGGGCUAAUACCGCAUAGGAGCUCCUGCUGCAUGGUGGGGGUUGGAAAGUUUCGGCGGUUGGGGAUGGACUCGCUGCUUAUGAGCUUGUUGGGGGGGUAGUGGCGUACCAAGGCUUCGACGGGUAGCCGGCCUGAGAGGGUUGCCAGGUACAUUGGGCCUGAGAUACGGCCCAGACUCCUACGGGAGGCAGCGGUGGAGAGUAUUGCAGAGUGGGCGGAAGCCUGAUGCAGCAACGCCGCGUGCGGGAUGACGGGCUUCGGGUUGUGAACCGCUUUCGCCUGUGCCGAAGCGAGAGUGACGGUAAUGGGUAAAGAAGCACCGGCUAACUACGUG
RNAcentral lists this ribosomal RNA (468 nucleotides) under uncultured bacterium. Its description in RNAcentral is "partial 16S ribosomal RNA". It matches the Rfam family "Bacterial small subunit ribosomal RNA", at positions 28 to 507 of the family's 1533-position model. The record is from RNAcentral.